Molecule: ribosomal RNA, 433 nt
Filed under: uncultured bacterium
Lineage: Bacteria
Description: partial 16S ribosomal RNA
Rfam family: Bacterial small subunit ribosomal RNA
Source: RNAcentral
AACGAACGCUGGCGGCAUGCCUAACACAUGCAAGUCGAACGAGACCUUCGGGUCUAGUGGCGCACGGGUGCGUAACGCGUGGGAACCUGCCCUUAGGUUCGGAAUAACUCCCCGAAAGGGGUGCUAAUACCGGAUAAUGUCUUCGGACCAAAGAUUUAUCGCCUUUGGAUGGGCCCGCGUUGGAUUAGCUAGUUGGUAGGGUAAAAGCCUACCAAGGCGACGAUCCAUAGCUGGUCUGAGAGGAUGAUCAGCCACACUGGGACUGAGACACGGCCCAGACUCCUACGGGAGGGAGCAGUGGGGAAUAUUGGACAAUGGGCGAAAGCCUGAUCAAGCAAUGCCGCGUGAGUGAUGAAGGCCUUAGGGUUGUAAAGCUCUUUUACCCGGGAUGAUAAUGACAGUACCGGGAGAAUAAGCUCCGGCUAACUACGUG